GAUGAACGCUAGCGGCAGGCCUAACACAUGCAAGUCGAGGGGCAGCACAGGUAGCAAUACUGGGUGGCGACCGGCGGAUGGGUGCGUAACGCGUAUGCAACCUACCAUUGAUUGGGGCAUAGCCCGAAGAAAUUCGGAUUAAUACUCCAUAAUAUUCAUCAAAGGCAUCUUUUAUGAAUUAAAGCUUUUGCGAUCAAUGAUGGGCAUGCGUGACAUUAGUUAGUUGGUGAGGUAACGGCUCACCAAAACGAUGAUGUCUAGGGGUUCUGAGAGGAUUAUCCCCCAACUGGUACUGAGACACGGACCAGACUCCUACGGGAGGCAGCAGUGAGGAAUAUUGGUCAAUGGACGCAAGUCUGAACCAGCCAUGCCGCGUGCAGGAUGACGGCCCUAUGGGUUGUAAACUGCUUUUCCAGGGUAGAGAAACUUGCGUACGCGUUGCGCAAUUGACGGUACCCUGGGAAUAAGCAUCGGCUAACCG
Molecule: ribosomal RNA, 481 nt
Filed under: uncultured bacterium
Lineage: Bacteria
Description: bacterial SSU rRNA
Rfam family: Bacterial small subunit ribosomal RNA
Source: RNAcentral